Molecule: transfer RNA, 87 nt
Filed under: Acanthopleuribacter pedis
Lineage: Bacteria; Pseudomonadati; Acidobacteriota; Holophagae; Acanthopleuribacterales; Acanthopleuribacteraceae
Description: tRNA-Leu
Source: RNAcentral
GCCCAAGUGGUGAAAUUGGUAGACACGCUAUCUUGAGGGGGUAGUGACCUUUCGGUCGUCCCGGUUCGAGUCCGGGCUUGGGCACCA